Molecule: non-coding RNA, 253 nt
Filed under: uncultured bacterium
Lineage: Bacteria
Also listed under: 1 other name
Description: partial 16S ribosomal RNA
Rfam family: Bacterial small subunit ribosomal RNA
Source: RNAcentral
UACGUAGGGACCAAGCGUUGUUCGGAUUUACUGGGCGUAAAGGGCGCGUAGGCGGCGUGGUAAGUCACUUGUGAAAUCUCUGAGCUUAACUCAGAACUGCCAAGUGAUACUGCUGUGCUAGAGUGCAGAAGGGGCAAUCGGAAUUCUUGGUGUAGCGGUGAAAUGCGUAGAUAUCAAGAGGAACACCUGAGGUGAAGACGGGUUGCUGGGCUGACACUGACGCUGAGGCGCGAAAGCUAGGGGAGCAAACGGG